RNAcentral lists this ribosomal RNA (252 nucleotides) under uncultured prokaryote. RNAcentral describes it as "partial 16S ribosomal RNA". It matches the Rfam family "Bacterial small subunit ribosomal RNA", at positions 524 to 775 of the family's 1533-position model. The record is from RNAcentral.
UACGAAGGGGGCUAGCGUUGUUCGGAUUUACUGGGCGUAAAGCGCACGUAGGCGGAUUGUUAAGUCGGGGGUGGAAUCCUGGAGCUCAACUUCAGAAUUGCCUUCGAUACUGGCUUUCUAGAGGCUGGAAGAGGUUAGUGGAAUUCCCAGUGUAGAGGUGAAAUUCGUAGAUAUUGGGAAGAACACCAGUGGCGAAGGCGGCUAACUGGUCCAGAUCUGACGCUGAGGUGCGAAAGCGUGGGGAGCAAACAG